CUCUUGCUAGGGGUCCUGGGGUGCCGUUGCGGCGCGCCGGGUGAGACAGACCCUCCGAACCUGAUGCGGGUAAUGCCGCCGAAGGGAAGCCAUCAUGAACGCCG
Burkholderiales bacterium 70-64 is the source of this 104-nucleotide non-coding RNA. NCBI's taxonomy places the organism in Bacteria, Pseudomonadati, Pseudomonadota, Betaproteobacteria, Burkholderiales. The record is from Rfam.